UUCCGGUUGAUCCUGCCGGAGGCCAUUGCUAUCGGAGUCCGAUUUAGCCAUGCUAGUUGCACGAGUUUAGACUCGUAGCAUAUAGCUCAGUAACACGUGGCCAAACUACCCUACAGACCGCAAUAACCUCGGGAAACUGAGGCCAAUAGCGGAUAUAACUCUCAUGCUGGAGUGCCGAGAGUUAGAAACGUUCCGGCGCUGUAGGAUGUGGCUGCGGCCGAUUAGGUAGAUGGUGGGGUAACGGCCCACCAUGCCGAUAAUCGGUACAGGUUGUGAGAGCAAGAGCCUGGAGACGGUAUCUGAGACAAGAUACCGGGCCCUACGGGGCGCAGCAGGCGCGAAACCUUUACACUGCACGACAGUGCGAUAGGGGGACUCCGAGUGUGAGGGCAUAUAGCCCUCGCUUUUCUGUACCGUAAGGUGGUACAGGAACAAGGACUGGGCAAGACCGGUGCCAGCCGCCGCGGU
Molecule: ribosomal RNA, 468 nt
Filed under: uncultured archaeon
Lineage: Archaea
Description: bacterial SSU rRNA
Rfam family: Archaeal small subunit ribosomal RNA
Source: RNAcentral